GGAAUAUUGGACAAUGGGCGCAAGCCUGAUCCAGCCAUGCCGCGUGUGUGAAGAAGGCCUUCGGGUUGUAAAGCACUUUCGGACGGAACGAAAUCGCGCGCAUGAACAAUGCGCGUGGAUGACGGUACCGUAAGAAGAAGCACCGGCUAACUACGUGGCAGAAGCCGCGGUAAUACGUAGGGUGCAAGCGUUAAUCGGAAUUACUGGGCGUAAAGGGUGCGCAGGCGGCCCCGCAUGUCGAGUGUGAAAUCCCCGGGCUUAACUUGGGAAUGGCGCUCGAAACUACGGGGCUGGAGUGUGGCAGAGGGAGGUGGAAUUCCAGGUGUAGCGGUGAAAUGCGUAGAGAUCUGGAGGAACACCGAUGGCGAAGGCAGCCUCCUGGGCCAACACUGACGCUCAUGCACGAAAGCGUGGGGAGCAAAC
RNAcentral lists this ribosomal RNA (423 nucleotides) under uncultured bacterium. RNAcentral's name for it is "bacterial SSU rRNA". It matches the Rfam family "Bacterial small subunit ribosomal RNA", at positions 358 to 773 of the family's 1533-position model. The record is from RNAcentral.